GCGGUCCUGGCAGGCGGGCAGUGUGGGUGUGGUCAUCGGUCACUCCCGAGCGGGCGGUGGUGAUCCCAGAGGAUCCUGACACCCCUGAACUGCAC
This 95-nucleotide transfer RNA is filed under the name Nocardia seriolae. RNAcentral's name for it is "tRNA-Asp". The record is from RNAcentral. Lineage: Bacteria; Bacillati; Actinomycetota; Actinomycetes; Mycobacteriales; Nocardiaceae. RNAcentral also lists the same sequence under 1 other name.